Molecule: non-coding RNA, 409 nt
Organism: Meleagris gallopavo (turkey)
Lineage: Eukaryota; Metazoa; Chordata; Aves; Galliformes; Phasianidae
Source: RefSeq, a predicted model, not a curated record
CUCUCUCCCGCCGUGGAUAAAUAGCGGCGGCACGGGCGGCGUGAUGCUCCAGCCCCAGCACUGACGUCCCGCAGCCGCAUCAUGGACUCCCAGGACUGCCCUUGUGCCACCGGCGGCACCUGCACGUGCGGGGACAACUGCAAAUGUAAAAACUGCAAAUGCACGUCGUGCAAAAAAGGCUGCUGCUCCUGCUGCCCUGCAGGAUGUGCCAAGUGUGCACAGGGCUGUGUCUGCAAAGGGCCCCCCUCUGCCAAGUGCAGCUGCUGCAAGUAGCGGCCCCCCCCACCACGCUGAGGAAAACUAACCUUAUUGUAUCUGUUUUUUUAUGUGUGCGUUCGGAUCGUGUCAGUGCUCAGCACAUGUAGUGUGCCAUGAGCUGCCUGAAUAAAGCUGUGUGUAUAUAACUGUA